Trachymyrmex septentrionalis is the source of this 228-nucleotide long non-coding RNA. RefSeq lists it as uncharacterized. The record is from RefSeq and is a predicted model, not a curated record. Lineage: Eukaryota; Metazoa; Arthropoda; Insecta; Hymenoptera; Formicidae. The transcript has 3 exons.
AGCAGCUGAGCGCUCAUCACCGGCACCGAUUCACCGCGAUCUCGGUUAGUGCCAUUCACUCACUUGAGUAUCCGAUUGGUUGUUGAUGAAUGGCUAGCUCCACACAGUAUCUUCUAAUUGGUUGAUCCAGUGGAAAAACUCAGCAUCAUGAGGGUCUUAAGUUUGCAUUCAACAGCUCCCCUCCCCCUCUCUUAGAGUCUCUAUAAGAGAGUCGCAUCAAUUUGAAGU